CCUACGGGUGGCAGCAGUGGGGAAUAUUGGGCAAUGGAGGAAACUCUGACCCAGCAAUGCCGCGUGAAUGAAGAAGGUCUUCGGAUUGUAAAGUUCUUUAGUCAGGGAAGAAGUCAAUGACGGUACCUGAAGAAUAAGCUCCGGCUAACUACGUGCCAGCAGCCGCGGUAAUACGUAGGAUGCGCGCGUUAUCCGGAUUUAUUGGGUUCAAUGGGUGCGCAGGCGGAGGUGCAAGUCAGCGGGAAAAUUGCGGGGCUAAACCCCGUACUGCCGUUGAAACUGCAUCCCUUGAGUGCGCGAGAGGUAUGCGGAAUGCGUGGUGUAGCGGUGAAAUGCGUAGAGAUCACGCAGAACUCCGAUGGCGAAGGCGGCAUACCGGAG
Molecule: ribosomal RNA, 381 nt
Filed under: uncultured bacterium
Lineage: Bacteria
Description: partial 16S ribosomal RNA
Rfam family: Bacterial small subunit ribosomal RNA
Source: RNAcentral